ACCUCCAAACAGAAAAAUUACUGUCAAUUAGUUCGACAAACAGAUUUUCUCAUGGUAACUCAUCUAGAAGAGAAAAUCUGUUCAACAGUCGGUCCUCACUGCACACCCUCAACGUGGCAAAUCGGGUCUAAUUCCACGUCACGGUUCUUUGACAAACACAAAUUGAAUCUCCUUUCCCAGCCCCUCUGCUCUCAGCUCUCCUAUUCUCUAUCUCUUCAAAGGCCUAACCUAAGAAGCGCUCCCUCCCCGUUUUGCACUCUUCUCUCUCUCUCAACACCGUUGGCAUCAACUCAACUCAUCCCUUCUCUAUCCCCCCAUUGCUUGGCACUUGAAUCUAUGGGAAACUCAACCCAUAGCAGUGAAUCUAGGGCAAGCGGCAAGCUCAAAUCAAUGGCAAACUCGACCCCCUCUGUGUGUCUUUGGUUCCUCCCGUCAAUUUCAAAUCCCCCUCUGUCCAGAAAUAGACCUUCACAUGUGUCACUGGUUGCUUCUCCACUGUGUCCCUUAGACAACAUUCACACCUUCUCAUGAGUCCAGAUCUAUGGCACCGUUAGAUCAAUUUCCUUCCAGUGCUUUGUUCAUCUAUUGCGCUCGGUGCUCCGUUUACUAACAACUGCUUUGUUCAUCUUCCCGAUGCUUCAUCUUGUGUCUUCAUUCAUUUGGCUUGCCCAAGUUCUUAACUGGUAAGGUGUUAGUUAUUUGGCUUGCCCAAGUUCUCAACUGGUAAGGUGUUUGUUAAGCAAGCCACUUGUAACGGUGCAGACAAUAGAAAGUUCUUAACUGAUUCUUCGGAAGCUACAGGGGAGGAGGUCGACGGGACAAUUUUUUUCCAGAGAAAGGCAAGGGAGGAAGCCGACGGGAUUGGGGGGAGGAGAGAGAAGAUAAAACUAGAGAAGAGAGGAGCUGUGGUCUCCGGCGCGAUUUUGAAAAGUAGUGAUAUGCUACAUGUGGCUCUAUUCACAAUAUUACUGAAAUUCAUGUGUGGCAUGUUGUUAUUCGCUGGUGUAAAAAACCAAUUCACACCCGAUCGGCUCCAA
Molecule: long non-coding RNA, 1037 nt
Organism: Carya illinoinensis
Lineage: Eukaryota; Viridiplantae; Streptophyta; Magnoliopsida; Fagales; Juglandaceae
Exons: 2
Source: RefSeq, a predicted model, not a curated record